Molecule: ribosomal RNA, 420 nt
Filed under: uncultured bacterium
Lineage: Bacteria
Description: bacterial SSU rRNA
Rfam family: Bacterial small subunit ribosomal RNA
Source: RNAcentral
AAUCAACGCUGGCGGCGUGCCUAACACAUGCAAGUCGAACGAGAAAGUGACUUCGGUCACUGGACAGUGGCGUCCGGGUGAGUAACACGUGGGUAAUCUACCUUCGGGUGGGGAAUAACGUCUCGAAAGAGACGCUAAUACCGCAUAAUGCAGCGGCACCUUAUGGUGAAUAGUUGUUAAAGCGGGGGAUCGCAAGACCUCGCGCCUGAAGAGGAGCCUGCGGCAGANAGCUUGUUGGUGAGGUAAUGGCUCACCAAGGCUGCGAUCUGUAGCUGGUCUGAGAGGACGGCCAGCCACACUGGCACUGACACACGGGCCAGACUCCUACGGGAGGCAGCAGUGGGGAAGUUUUGGGCAAUGGGCGCAAGCCUGACCCAGCAACGCCGCGUGAGGGAGGAAAUCCUUCGGGAUGUAAACCUC